Molecule: ribosomal RNA, 442 nt
Filed under: uncultured bacterium
Lineage: Bacteria
Description: partial 16S ribosomal RNA
Rfam family: Bacterial small subunit ribosomal RNA
Source: RNAcentral
CCUACGGGGGGCAGCAGUAGGGAAUCUUUCACAAUGGGCGAAAGCCUGAUGGAGCAACGCCGCGUGCAGGAUGAAGGCCUUCGGGUUGUAAACUGCUUUUAUAAGCGAGAAAUAUGAUGGUAACUUAUGAAUAAGGAUCGGCUAACUACGUGCCAGCAGCCGCGGUCAUACGUAGGAUCCGAGCAUUAUCCGGAGUGACUGGGUGUAAAGAGUUGCGUAGGUGGCAUAAUAAGUAGCUAGUGAAAUCUGGUGGCUCAACCAUUCAGACUAUUAGCUAAACUGUUAAGCUCGAGACCGUUAGGGGUAACUGGAAUUUCUAGUGUAGGAGUGAAAUCCGUAGAUAUUAGAAGGAACACCAAUAGCGUAGGCAGGUUGCUGGGACGGUUCUGACACUAAGGCACGAAAGCGUAGGGAGCAAACGGGAUUAGAUACCCGAGUAAUC